Molecule: unclassified non-coding RNA, 178 nt
Filed under: Borreliella burgdorferi (Lyme disease spirochete)
Lineage: Bacteria; Pseudomonadati; Spirochaetota; Spirochaetia; Spirochaetales; Borreliaceae
Description: partial 5S-23S ribosomal RNA intergenic spacer
Source: RNAcentral
UUUUAUCUUCCAUCUCUAUUUUGCCAAUUUAUUUAUACAACAUAAAAUAAUAUAUAUCUUUGUUUAAUACAUGUCAAUAUAUAUUUUAUUUUUUAUGUUAUUUAAACAACACAUUCAAAAACACCAAUAUUUAAAAAACAUAAAAAUAAAAUCAAAGUUUAAAGUAUAAAAAUAAAAA